GAUGAACGCUGGCGGCGUGCCUAAUACAUGCAAGUCGAGCGAACAGACGAGGAGCUUGCUCCUCUGACGUUAGCGGCGGACGGGUGAGUAACACGUGGAUAACCUACCUAUAAGACUGGGAUAACUUCGGGAAACCGGAGCUAAUACCGGAUAAUAUAUUGAACCGCAUGGUUCAAUAGUGAAAGACGGUUUUGCUGUCACUUAUAGAUGGAUCCGCGCCGCAUUAGCUAGUUGGUAAGGUAACGGCUUACCAAGGCAACGAUGCGUAGCCGACCUGAGAGCGUGAUCGGCCACACUGGAACUGAGACACGGUCCAGACUCCUACGGGAGGCCGCAGUAGGGAAUCUUCCGCAAUGGGCGAAAGCCUGACGGAGCAACGCCGCGUGAGUGAUGAAGGUCUUCGGAUCGUAAAACUCUGUUAUUAGGGAAGAACAAAUGUGUAAGUAACUAUGCACGUCUUGACGGUACCUAAUCAGAAAGCCACGGCUAACUACGUG
This 497-nucleotide ribosomal RNA is filed under the name uncultured bacterium. RNAcentral's name for it is "partial 16S ribosomal RNA". It matches the Rfam family "Bacterial small subunit ribosomal RNA", at positions 28 to 507 of the family's 1533-position model. The record is from RNAcentral.